CAAGGUCUCCGUUGGUGAACCAGCGGAGGGAUCAUGG
Molecule: ribosomal RNA, 37 nt
Filed under: Phomopsis sp. CML 1520
Lineage: Eukaryota; Fungi; Ascomycota; Sordariomycetes; Diaporthales; Diaporthaceae
Description: partial 18S ribosomal RNA
Source: RNAcentral